AUGGUAGUGGCGAUAGUAGUGUCAACCGUGCUCUUGUUAUUGGGUACGUAUAUUCAUUCUUUUGUGCUCUCUGUCUUCUUCCAUGACAGUAUGGCGAUGAAGUAGCGAUUAGACAAUCCGCCUUGCAAUGGGCGUGGUCCCGACCAUAGUGUGUUCAACGAUCUUAAGUUCUCACCUGUUGGGGUGGGUAGCUCAUGUGGCCAUUCGACACCUUUGGGGUUAGUCCAACUUGUGCAAAAUUGGUCUUCUUCGGUUUCUUCACCAGAUGGAUGA
Molecule: ribosomal RNA, 273 nt
Filed under: Triticum aestivum (bread wheat)
Lineage: Eukaryota; Viridiplantae; Streptophyta; Magnoliopsida; Poales; Poaceae
Description: partial small subunit ribosomal RNA
Source: RNAcentral